AUGAACGCUGGCGGCGUGGAUAAGGCAUGCAAGUCAAGGGGCCCGCAAGGGCACCGGCAGACGAGGUAGUAUAAAGUAGGUACGAACCUAGAAGUCAGGAAUAGCUACGCGAAAGCGUAGGUAAUACUUGAUAGUCCCUUCGGGGUAAAGAUUUAUCGCUUCUAGAUCGGCCUGCUCGGUAUCAGCUAGUUGGUAGGGUAAAAGCCUACCAAGGCUAUGACGCCUAGGGGAGGUGAGAGCCUGACCCCCACCGAUGGAACUGAGAUACGGUCCAUACACCUACUGGUGGCUGCAGCCGAGAAUAUUCGACAAUGGGCGAAAGCCUGAUCGAGCGACGCCGCGUGGUUGAUGAAGUCCUUCGGGAUGUAAAAACCUUUUAUGGAUGAGGAAGUUUAUUGACGUUAGUCCAUGAAUAAGAGGUUGCUAAACUCGU
Molecule: ribosomal RNA, 433 nt
Filed under: uncultured bacterium
Lineage: Bacteria
Description: bacterial SSU rRNA
Rfam family: Bacterial small subunit ribosomal RNA
Source: RNAcentral